RNAcentral lists this transfer RNA (77 nucleotides) under Actinomycetes bacterium. RNAcentral describes it as "tRNA-Pro". It matches the Rfam family "tRNA". From Rfam's summary of the family: Transfer RNA (tRNA) molecules are approximately 80 nucleotides in length. Their secondary structure includes four short double-helical elements and three loops (D, anti-codon, and T loops). Further hydrogen bonds mediate the characteristic L-shaped molecular structure. tRNAs have two regions of fundamental functional importance: the anti-codon, which is responsible for specific mRNA codon recognition, and the 3' end, to which the tRNAs corresponding amino acid is attached (by aminoacyl-tRNA synthetases). tRNAs cope with the degeneracy of the genetic code in two manners: having more than one tRNA (with a specific anti-codon) for a particular amino acid; and 'wobble' base-pairing, i.e. permitting non-standard base-pairing at the 3rd anti-codon position. The record is from RNAcentral. RNAcentral also lists the same sequence under 1 other name. Lineage: Bacteria; Bacillati; Actinomycetota; Actinomycetes.
CGGGACGUGGCGCAGCCUGGUAGCGCACCUGCUUUGGGAGCAGGGGGUCGGAGGUUCGAAUCCUCUCGUCCCGACCA